RNA transcript from Coffea arabica (coffee), 1657 nucleotides. It is a transcript of the gene named probable aquaporin SIP2-1, with no coding region annotated. The record is from RefSeq and is a predicted model, not a curated record. Lineage: Eukaryota; Viridiplantae; Streptophyta; Magnoliopsida; Gentianales; Rubiaceae.
CAAUUUUCCCUCUCCAAGGUGUGGGGACUCUGUUCGAUUGGAUAUUCUGUGGUAGAUUAUAAUUUGGCAUAAUUUGAUUUUAGUGUACCAACUACCCAUAGCACUAAUUGGUCGGGUUCCUAAGAAAGCGAGCGAACUGGCUCGCUCCCUCUAGCCAGGAACGAGAACACGGCUUUGAGCUUCCCCCCUUCCAGGAAAACAGAGCAAGCAAAUACCCACCAAGACUUCAAACGAAAAAGGGGCAGCAAAGUCAAAAAAACCCAAACCAUCCUCCGCCCCCCCCCCCUUUCUCCUUCCAAGAAUGAGAACAGGGAGUGAGGGCUCAGGAAAAGAUAUGGAAUCAAUGGGGGUGAUGGGAAGGAGAUUGGUGUUGGUUGCAUCAGAUUUCGUUAUAUCCUUUAUGUGGGUUUGGUCAAGUGUGCUGAUCAAGAUCUUUGUGUACAAUAUCAUGGCCUUUGGAAGGGAUGACGUCCAAGGUGAGAUCUUGAAGCAUGCUCUUGCUGUCAUCAACAUGUUCUUCUUUGCCUUCCUGGCCAAAGCCACCAAAGGUGGGAGCUACAAUCCACUCACCAUCUUCUCUUCUGCUGUCUCUGGCAAUUUCACCCAGUUUCUCUUCGUUCUUUGUGCCAGGAUUCCUGCUCAGGUCUUUGGAUCAGUUAUUGGGGUUAUGCUGAUCCGUGAAGCAUUUCCUGCAAUUGGAAGUGGUCCACGACUCAAUGUGGACAUCCAUCUAGGUGCAUUGACAGAAGGAAUUUUGACAUUUUUCAUUGUAAUUGUGUCACUUGGGCUUGCCAGGAAGAUUCCUGGAAGUUUCUACACGAAAACCUGGAUUUCAAGUCUUGCCAAGCUUACUCUUCACAUACUUGGUUCUGAUCUAACAGGGGGAUGCAUGAAUCCAGCAUCAGUGAUGGGCUGGGCCUACGCUCGUGGGGACCAUAUAACCAAGGAGCAUAUACUUGUUUACUGGCUUGCACCAAUGGAGGCAACUUUGCUUGCUGUUUGGAUGUUCAAAUUGUUAAUGCAGUCACAGGAAAAAGAUAAGGCAAAAAUAAAAGGUGAAAAGUCAGACUGAUAUGUUCUCCAUCGGAAUCUCAGAUGCUUGAAUUUGUCCCUAUUCAUUCUUAUGUGAGGUUUGCUUGUGUCUCUAUUAGUUUGAACUAUGAAGUGAUUGGUUAUGAUGAACAGCAGGAGGUGAGAAAACCUGAAUGAAUAAAGAUGAAAUCAUGUACAUGCGGAAGUUGGGUAACUUCAUACAGGAACUUUGCUUGUGCCAGACCCCGGACGGAAUUGAGCUCAUAUAAAGAAGGAUUGCACGUUAAGUAUAACAGAGUUAUGCCAAUCCUCCUUGAGGGUUGAUAUCUGCAGUUACUAGAUAUUUCAAAUCAGUUGUAUCUAUCAAGAAUUCAAAGUUGGCAUGCUAUAUUUGUUCAGCCGUGAUUCAUAAUGUAGUCAUGCCCUUUCCACGGAGUUUGAAGCAGGUAAAUGCUUCCUUAUUCGAAGAUAAUCAACUGAAUAGAAGUUCUUAGUUUGGAGUGUAUGUAUCAAUUAUUGAGUUCAUUCAUUUAAACAAAGAGGAACAGCAACCAGUCGUGGGUCUAUUUGGUUAGACGUAAAACCUUUCCUUGAUUUUUCUUGGUUCCUCCCAUGUCCUUUUGCU